AAAAAAGGUAAGCUACUAAGAGCGAAUGGUGGAUGCCUUGACUGGUAAAGGCGAUGAAGGACGUACUAGACUGCGAUAAGCUACGGGGAGCUGUCAAGAAGCUUUGAUCCGUAGAUUUCCGAAUGGGGCAACCCAAUGUAUAGAGAUAUACAUUACCUAUAUAGGAGCGAACGAGGGGAAUUGAAACAUCUUAGUACCCUCAGGAAAAGAAAUCAAUAGAGAUUGCGUCAGUAGCGGCGAGCGAAAGCGCAAGAGGGCAAACCCAGUGCUUGCACUGGGGGUUGUAGGACUGCAAUGUGCAAGAGGUGAGUUUAGCAGAACAUUCUGGAAAGUAUAGCCAUAGAGGGUGAUAGUCCCGUAUGCGAAAAACAAACCUUAGCUAGCAGUAUCCUGAGUAGGGCGGGACACGAGGAAUCCUGUCUGAAUCCGGGUCGACCACGAUCCAACCCUAAAUACUAAUACCAGAUCGAUAGUGCACAAGUACCGUGAGGGAAAGGUGAAAAGAACUGAGGUGAUCAGAGUGAAAUAGAACCUGAAACCAUUUGCUUACAAUCAUUCAGAGCCCUAUGUAGCAAUACAGGGUGAUGGACUGCCUUUUGCAUAAUGAGCCUGCGAGUUGUGGUGUCUGGCAAGGUUAAGCAAACGCGAAGCCGUAGCGAAAGCGAGUCUGAAUAGGGCGCUUAGUCAGAUGCUGCAGACCCGAAACGAAGUGAUCUAUCCAUGAGCAAGUUGAAGCUAGUGUAAGAACUAGUGGAGGACUGAACCCAUAGGCGUUGAAAAGCCCCGGGAUGACUUGUGGAUAGGGGUGAAAGGCCAAUCAAACUUCGUGAUAGCUGGUUCUCUCCGAAAUAUAUUUAGGUAUAGCGUUGUGUCGUAAUAUAAGGGGGUAGAGCACUGAAUGGGCUAGGGCAUACACCAAUGUACCAAACCCUAUCAAACUCCGAAUACCUUAUAUGUAAUCACAGCAGUCAGGCGGCGAGUGAUAAAAUCCGUCGUCAAGAGGGAAACAACCCAGACUACCAGCUAAGGUCCCUAAAUCUUACUUAAGUGGAAAACGAUGUGAAGUUACUUAAACAACCAGGAGGUUGGCUUAGAAGCAGCCAUCCUUUAAAGAAAGCGUAAUAGCUCACUGGUCUAGUGAUUUUGCGCGGAAAAUAUAACGGGGCUAAAGUA
This 1173-nucleotide ribosomal RNA is filed under the name Campylobacter coli. RNAcentral describes it as "partial 23S ribosomal RNA". It matches the Rfam family "Bacterial large subunit ribosomal RNA", at positions 1 to 1189 of the family's 2925-position model. The record is from RNAcentral. Lineage: Bacteria; Pseudomonadati; Campylobacterota; Epsilonproteobacteria; Campylobacterales; Campylobacteraceae.